Gasterosteus aculeatus aculeatus (three-spined stickleback) is the source of this 1967-nucleotide long non-coding RNA. Lineage: Eukaryota; Metazoa; Chordata; Actinopteri; Perciformes; Gasterosteidae. The record is from Ensembl.
AUCCCGUCAGCAUGGCGUCGGGCUUCAUCGGAGCGCGAGAGGGGGUCUGUUUCUGUCUUUGGUUAUCUAGCUGUAUGAGUUUUAAAUGCCUGUCAUAAAGCUAGAUAACCGAAAGUAGAAAUGACUCCCGGAACGUUGUGUUCAUCCCCGAAAGACGCGGGACUCCUCGAGCUUCCAACUGGGAAAAAGGCUUCCAAUAUACGACAUUGAAUGAUCGUGGAUCCCUGAAAAGAGGCUCGAGCCAUCGUUGAAAGAAAAGGAAGCGAGAGCUGAGGGGAAAACGGUCGGUCCGGAAUUGCUACCUCCUCCUCCUCCUCCACCCCCAUUAGUCGUCCUUUUUGCCCAAGAGCCUCUAAUGCCAUCUGUGCUGCCAACGGGGGUUGGAGGGGAGGGGGCGGAUUCUGCCCGUGCCAGGACGCGGACAAAGACCCUUCCGGAUCCCCGGAGCACGGGCACGCUCAGAGGAGCCAUCUUGGGGAGAUGUUGCCGCGACACCUAAAAUGGCAGGCUGGCACACCGAGGUGAAUUCUGUAGAGGAGGCGACACUGAGAUAAUAACUAUUUGGGACGGGGAACAGGAUCGGCCUCUCUGCGCUCUGAAGGAACCUGCUUGGGCGCGAGGACAUGGACCAAACUCAACGAAAUACUGUCUUCAGAAAGUCUCAACAGAGAUCAUCAGUCACCUAAACGAGGAGAGCAGCCCUGUGUGGCAAAGGACAUGUAGAAAGAAAAGAGCUACUGUACAAGCUGGAAAUGUGCCUGUUAUCCAUGUUCAUGAUAUUGUAUUAAUGUGUGUGAUACAUAUACAUUAUUUUAAAAAUUGCAGAAAACUUGUUCUCACCGAUAUAUCUAAAGUGCAUCUACAUGUUUUAAUUAAUAAUUUAUGAAACUGCUGUUCUCAUAUGUCUGAAUUGAAAUAGGAAUUUAUAAGACUGGAGUGCAUUACUGAAAAAGCUGAUUGUAUUUCUUCUUUGAAUUAAAUCGAUAAUGAAAAUAUUUUCAUCUCUGUGUUACAAUCGUGCUUUUGAGCAAUUAUUUCAGUGAUAAAUUAGGAAGGGAAACAAUAAAUUAUUACAAUGCGGACAUCCUAAAGAAUGUGUUUUCAUGUUGAAUGUUUUCAACAGCACUUUGUCUUUAAUCUUCAAUAAAAAAAUGAACAAGGAUCGAUCUAAAACAGACAGUAUACGGAGUCAAGCCGGCUGGACCUUUUCUCUGCCGGCUUUCUGUUUUUAGAUUCAAAUGGUAAUUUCUGUGAGGAUCGUGCGAGGCGGUCUUUGAGUGACCCCACAUUAAGGUUUAAUUAGGAGGAGCAGACGGGGGGUUGUGUGUUGAUCAGUGUGGGAAAAGAGAAAUUCACUGCCUGAACUGUCUACACUGCGGAAAUAGACAUUCACUCUGUUCAUAUCGGCUGCGAAAAAUGAUACGGCUAAAUAACAGGAGUGUUAUAUUUGGAAAGGUUUCUUUUUACUGCUCAGCAGGCACGAUGUAUCGGGGAUUACAGGCAGUCAAACAACAGAUGCUCCUGCUUCUUAUGAGAGAUUAUCUCUGUCUCUAGGACACAAAUUAUUUCCUCUCCAUUGAAAUGAUGCCUUAUCUUAGAUUCAGAGGUUUGAUGUUCCUUUUUCAACAAUUUAACAAUUUAACUGGGAUUUCUUAUUUAAUAUAUGUCAUUUUAUUCAAUGUGUGAAAAUGUAUUUUAAUUUGUUUUAAAAUAUCUUACUAAAGUUUACAACAAACUUUAAAAUGUUAAAUAAAGAAUAAAAAGCAUUGCUGUCACAGAUUGCACAAGAGCUGUUGCAUUAAGAAAGACAAAAAGCUAGACUAUUACUACUAUAUUUGUAGACCAAAGAGAGGAUCUACAAACCAAAAUAACGGUGAACUAUUGAAUACAAUAAACUGUAAAAGAGACAAAAAUAGUCACAAACCCAGUGAGGACACAUGGGAGUUGUAUGAAAGAACUGAGGGGGG